This 460-nucleotide ribosomal RNA is filed under the name uncultured bacterium. RNAcentral describes it as "partial 16S ribosomal RNA". It matches the Rfam family "Bacterial small subunit ribosomal RNA", at positions 338 to 795 of the family's 1533-position model. The record is from RNAcentral.
CCUACGGGUGGCAGCAGUGAGGAAUAUUGGUCAAUGGACGCAAGUCUGAACCAGCCAUGCCGCGUGCAGGAAGACGGCUCUAUGAGUUGUAAACUGCUUUUGUACGAGGGUAAACGCAGAUACGCGUAUCUGUCUGAAAGUCUCGUACGAAUAAGGAUCGGCUAACUCCGUGCCAGCAGCCGCGGUAAUACGGAGGAUUCAAGCGUUAUCCGGAUUUAUUGGGUUUAAAGGGUGCGUAGGCGGUCGGAUAAGUUAGAGGUGAAAUCCCGAGGCUCAACUUCGGAAUUGCCUCUGAUACUGUUCGGCGAGAGAGUAGUUGCGGUAGGCGGAAUGUAUGGUGUAGCGGUGAAAUGCUUAGAGAUCAUACAGAACACCGAUUGCGAAGGCAGCUUACCAAGCUACUUCUGACGUUGAGGCACGAAAGCGUGGGGAGCAGACAGGAUUAGAUACCCGAGUAGUC